This 2904-nucleotide ribosomal RNA is filed under the name Salmonella enterica. RNAcentral's name for it is "23S ribosomal RNA". It matches the Rfam family "Bacterial large subunit ribosomal RNA". Lineage: Bacteria; Pseudomonadati; Pseudomonadota; Gammaproteobacteria; Enterobacterales; Enterobacteriaceae. The record is from RNAcentral.
GGUUAAGCGACUAAGCGUACACGGUGGAUGCCCUGGCAGUCAGAGGCGAUGAAGGGCGUGCUAAUCUGCGAUAAGCGCCGGUAAGGUGAUAUGAACCGUUAUAACCGGCGAUACCCGAAUGGGGAAACCCAGUGUGACUCGUCACACUAUCAUUAACUGAAUCCAUAGGUUAAUGAGGCGAACCGGGGGAACUGAAACAUCUAAGUACCCCGAGGAAAAGAAAUCAACCGAGAUUCCCCCAGUAGCGGCGAGCGAACGGGGAGGAGCCCAGAGCCUGAAUCAGCAUGUGUGUUAGUGGAAGCGUCUGGAAAGGCGCGCGAUACAGGGUGACAGCCCCGUACACAAAAGCGCAUGUGCUGUGAGCUCGAUGAGUAGGGCGGGACACGUGGUAUCCUGUCUGAAUAUGGGGGGACCAUCCUCCAAGGCUAAAUACUCCUGACUGACCGAUAGUGAACCAGUACCGUGAGGGAAAGGCGAAAAGAACCCCGGCGAGGGGAGUGAAAAAGAACCUGAAACCGUGUACGUACAAGCAGUGGGAGCACCCUUUGGGUGUGACUGCGUACCUUUUGUAUAAUGGGUCAGCGACUUAUAUUCUGUAGCAAGGUUAACCGAAUAGGGGAGCCGGAGGGAAACCGAGUCUUAAUUGGGCGUUAAGUUGCAGGGUAUAGACCCGAAACCCGGUGAUCUCAGCCAUGGGCAGGUUGAAGGUUGGGUAACACUAACUGGAGGACCGAACCGACUAAUGUUGAAAAAAUUAGCGGAUGACCUGUGGCUGGGGGUGAAAGGCCAAUCAAACCGGGAGAUAGCUGGUUCUCCCCGAAAGCUAUUUAGGUAGCGCCUCGUGAAUUCAUCUCCGGGGGUAGAGCACUGUUUCGGCUAGGGGGCCAUCCCGGCUUACCAACCCGAUGCAAACUGCGAAUACCGGAGAAUGUUAUCACGGGAGACACACGGCGGGUGCUAACGUCCGUCGUGAAGAGGGAAACAACCCAGACCGCCAGCUAAGGUCCCAAAGUCAUGGUUAAGUGGGAAACGAUGUGGGAAGGCCCAGACAGCCAGGAUGUUGGCUUAGAAGCAGCCAUCAUUUAAAGAAAGCGUAAUAGCUCACUGGUCGAGUCGGCCUGCGCGGAAGAUGUAACGGGGCUAAACCAUGCACCGAAGCUGCGGCAGCGACACUGUGUGUUGUUGGGUAGGGGAGCGUUCUGUAAGCCUGCGAAGGUGGCCUGUGAGGGUUGCUGGAGGUAUCAGAAGUGCGAAUGCUGACAUAAGUAACGAUAAAGCGGGUGAAAAGCCCGCUCGCCGGAAGACCAAGGGUUCCUGUCCAACGUUAAUCGGGGCAGGGUGAGUCGACCCCUAAGGCGAGGCCGAAAGGCGUAGUCGAUGGGAAACGGGUUAAUAUUCCCGUACUUGGUGUUACUGCGAAGGGGGACGGAGAAGGCUAUGUUGGCCGGGCGACGGUUGUCCCGGUUUAAGCGUGUAGGCUGGUUUUCCAGGCAAAUCCGGAAAAUCAAGGCUGAGGCGUGAUGACGAGGCACUACGGUGCUGAAGCAACAAAUGCCCUGCUUCCAGGAAAAGCCUCUAAGCAUCAGGUAACAUCAAAUCGUACCCCAAACCGACACAGGUGGUCAGGUAGAGAAUACCAAGGCGCUUGAGAGAACUCGGGUGAAGGAACUAGGCAAAAUGGUGCCGUAACUUCGGGAGAAGGCACGCUGACACGUAGGUGAAGUGAUUUACUCAUGGAGCUGAAGUCAGUCGAAGAUACCAGCUGGCUGCAACUGUUUAUUAAAAACACAGCACUGUGCAAACACGAAAGUGGACGUAUACGGUGUGACGCCUGCCCGGUGCCGGAAGGUUAAUUGAUGGGGUCAGCGCAAGCGAAGCUCCUGAUCGAAGCCCCGGUAAACGGCGGCCGUAACUAUAACGGUCCUAAGGUAGCGAAAUUCCUUGUCGGGUAAGUUCCGACCUGCACGAAUGGCGUAAUGAUGGCCAGGCUGUCUCCACCCGAGACUCAGUGAAAUUGAACUCGCUGUGAAGAUGCAGUGUACCCGCGGCAAGACGGAAAGACCCCGUGAACCUUUACUAUAGCUUGACACUGAACAUUGAGCCUUGAUGUGUAGGAUAGGUGGGAGGCUUUGAAGUGUGGACGCCAGUCUGCAUGGAGCCGACCUUGAAAUACCACCCUUUAAUGUUUGAUGUUCUAACGUGGACCCGUUACCCGGGUUGCGGACAGUGUCUGGUGGGUAGUUUGACUGGGGCGGUCUCCUCCUAAAGAGUAACGGAGGAGCACGAAGGUUGGCUAAUCUCGGUCGGACAUCAGGAGGUUAGUGCAAUGGCAUAAGCCAGCUUGACUGCGAGCGUGACGGCGCGAGCAGGUGCGAAAGCAGGUCAUAGUGAUCCGGUGGUUCUGAAUGGAAGGGCCAUCGCUCAACGGAUAAAAGGUACUCCGGGGAUAACAGGCUGAUACCGCCCAAGAGUUCAUAUCGACGGCGGUGUUUGGCACCUCGAUGUCGGCUCAUCACAUCCUGGGGCUGAAGUAGGUCCCAAGGGUAUGGCUGUUCGCCAUUUAAAGUGGUACGCGAGCUGGGUUUAGAACGUCGUGAGACAGUUCGGUCCCUAUCUCGCCGUGGGCGCUGGAGAACUGAGGGGGGCUGCUCCUAGUACGAGAGGACCGGAGUGGACGCAUCACUGGUGUUCGGGUUGUCAUGCCAAUGGCACUGCCCGGUAGCUAAAUGCGGAAGAGAUAAGUGCUGAAAGCAUCUAAGCACGAAACUUGCCCCGAGAUGAGUUCUCCCUGAGACUUAAAGUCUCCUGAAGGAACGUUGAAGACGACGACGUUGAUAGGCCGGGUGUGUAAGCGCAGCGAUGCGUUGAGCUAACCGGUACUAAUGAACCGUGAGGCUUAACCUU